This 563-nucleotide ribosomal RNA is filed under the name Epicoccum nigrum. RNAcentral's name for it is "eukaryotic LSU rRNA". The stretch from base 200 to 353 matches the Rfam family "5.8S ribosomal RNA". The record is from RNAcentral. Lineage: Eukaryota; Fungi; Ascomycota; Dothideomycetes; Pleosporales; Didymellaceae.
UUGGAAGUAAAAAUCGUAACAAGGUUUCCGUAGGUGAACCUGCGGAAGGAUCAUUACCUAGAGUUUGUGGACUUCGGUCUGCUACCUCUUACCCAUGUCUUUUGAGUACCUUCGUUUCCUCGGCGGGUCCGCCCGCCGGUUGGACAACAUUCAAACCCUUUGCAGUUGCAAUCAGCGUCUGAAAAAACUUAAUAGUUACAACUUUCAACAACGGAUCUCUUGGUUCUGGCAUCGAUGAAGAACGCAGCGAAAUGCGAUAAGUAGUGUGAAUUGCAGAAUUCAGUGAAUCAUCGAAUCUUUGAACGCACAUUGCGCCCCUUGGUAUUCCAUGGGGCAUGCCUGUUCGAGCGUCAUUUGUACCUUCAAGCUCUGCUUGGUGUUGGGUGUUUUGUCUCGCCUCCGCGCGCAGACUCGCCUUAAAACAAUUGGCAGCCGGCGUAUUGAUUUCGGAGCGCAGUACAUCUCGCGCUUUGCACUCAUAACGACGACGUCCAAAAGUACAUUUUUACACUCUUGACCUCGGAUCAGGUAGGGAUACCCGCUGAACUUAAGCAUAUCAUAAA